RNAcentral lists this non-coding RNA (257 nucleotides) under Enterocloster bolteae. Its description in RNAcentral is "Clostridium bolteae T-box sequence". It matches the Rfam family "T-box leader". Rfam says of the family: Uncharged tRNA acts as the effector for transcription antitermination of genes in the T-box leader family. T-boxes are found upstream of many aminoacyl-tRNA synthetase genes and some amino acid biosynthetic genes usually in Gram-positive bacteria. Lineage: Bacteria; Bacillati; Bacillota; Clostridia; Lachnospirales; Lachnospiraceae. The record is from RNAcentral.
GCAAAUACGCAGAUAGGGAAGAGUAGAUAACCGGAUGGAUGCAGAGAGCCGGCGGCUGGUGAAAGCCGGUGACGGAUGGUUGUUGAACUGGCCCUGGAGUAGCCUGCCCCAACGAGGAAGGACCGCCGGAAACGGGGGACCGGGAACCAGUAGGACGGGACGGAGACCUUACCGUUAUAAGAGGAUUAAGUGCAUGCGUCAGACAGCAUGAACCAGAGUGGUACCGCGCGGGGAUUUUUAAGCCUUGCGUCUCUAGC